AUUGAACGCUGGCGGCAUGCCUUACACAUGCAAGUCGAACGGCAGCACGGGUGCUUGCACCUGGUGGCGAGUGGCGAACGGGUGAGUAAUACAUCGGAACAUGUCCUGUAGUGGGGGAUAGCCCGGCGAAAGCCGGAUUAAUACCGCAUACGAUCUACGUAUGAAAGCGGGGGCCCUUCGGGCCUCGCGCUAUAGGGUUGGCCGGUGGCUGAUUAGCUAGUUGGUGGGGUAAAGGCCUACCAAGGCGACGAUCAGUAGCUGGUCUGAGAGGACGACCAGCCACACUGGGACUGAGACACGGCCCAGACUCCUACGGGAGGCAGCAGUGGGGAAUUUUGGACAAAGGGCGAAAGCCUGAUCCAGCAAUGCCGCGUGUGUGAAGAAGGCCUUCGGGUUGUAAAGCACUUUUGUCCGGAAAGAAAUCCUUGGCCCUAAUACGGUCGGGGGAUGACGGUACCGGAAGAAUAAGCACCGGCUAACUACGUG
RNAcentral lists this ribosomal RNA (486 nucleotides) under uncultured bacterium. Its description in RNAcentral is "partial 16S ribosomal RNA". It matches the Rfam family "Bacterial small subunit ribosomal RNA", at positions 30 to 507 of the family's 1533-position model. The record is from RNAcentral.